UAGGGAAUAUUGGUAAUGGGCGAAAGCCCGAACCAGCAACGCCGCGUGCGCGAUGAAGGCCUUCGGGUUGUAAAGCGCUUUUUAAGGGGAUGAGGAAGGACAGUCCUCUUAGAAUAAGCCUCGGCUAACUACGUGCCAGCAGCCGAGGUAAAACGUAGGAGGCGAGCGUUAUCCGGAUUUACUGGGCGUAAAGCGUGUGUAGGCGGUGUGAUAAGUUGGAUGUGAAAGCUCCCGGCUCAACUGGGAGAGGUCGUUCAAAACUAUCAGACUUGAGCGUGUUAGAGGGAGGUGGAAUUCCGCGUGUAGGGGUGAAAUGCGUAGAUAUGCGGAGGAACACCAGUGGCGAAAGCGGCCUCCUGGCCCAUUUCUGACGCUCAGACACGAAAGCUAAGGUAGCAAACG
This 402-nucleotide ribosomal RNA is filed under the name uncultured prokaryote. RNAcentral's name for it is "bacterial SSU rRNA". It matches the Rfam family "Bacterial small subunit ribosomal RNA", at positions 355 to 774 of the family's 1533-position model. The record is from RNAcentral.